UGGGGAAUAUUGGACAAUGGGCGAAAGCCUGAUCCAGCCAUGCCGCGUGUGUGAAGAAGGUCUUCGGAUUGUAAAGCACUUUAAGUUGGGAGGAAGGGCAGUAAGCGAAUACCUUGCUGUUUUGACGUUACCGACAGAAUAAGAACCGGCUAACUCUGUGCCAGCAGCCGCGGUAAUACAGAGGGUGCAAGCGUUAAUCGGAAUUACUGGGCGUAAAGCGCGCGUAGGUGGUUCGUUAAGUUGAAUGUGAAAGCCCCGGGCUCAACCUGGGAACUGCAUCCAAAACUGGCGAGCUAGAGUAGGGCAGAGGGUGGUGGAAUUUCCUGUGUAGCGGAGAAAUGCGUAGAUAUAGGAAGGAACACCAGUGGCGAAGGCGACCACCUGGGCUCAUACUGACACUGAGGUGCGAAAGCGUGGGGAGCAAACAGG
Molecule: ribosomal RNA, 429 nt
Filed under: Pseudomonadota bacterium
Lineage: Bacteria; Pseudomonadati; Pseudomonadota
Description: Proteobacteria bacterium partial 16S ribosomal RNA
Rfam family: Bacterial small subunit ribosomal RNA
Source: RNAcentral